AGUCGAGCGGUAGCACAGAGAGCUUGCUCUCGGGUGACGAGCGGCGGACGGGUGAGUAAUGUCUGGGAAACUGCCUGAUGGAGGGGGAUAACUACUGGAAACGGUAGCUAAUACCGCAUAACGUCGCAAGACCAAAGUGGGGGACCUUCGGGCCUCAUGCCAUCAGAUGUGCCCAGAUGGGAUUAGCUAGUAGGUGGGGUAACGGCUCACCUAGGCGACGAUCCCUAGCUGGUCUGAGAGGAUGACCAGCCACACUGGAACUGAGACACGGUCCAGACUCCUACGGGAGGCAGCAGUGGGGAAUAUUGCACAAUGGGCGCAAGCCUGAUGCAGCCAUGCCGCGUGUGUGAAGAAGGCCUUCGGGUUGUAAAGCACUUUCAGCGGGGAGGAAGGCGAUAAGGUUAAUAACCUUGUCGAUUGACGUUACCCGCAGAAGAAGCACCGGCUAACUCCGUGCCAGCAGCCGCGGUAAUACGGAGGGUGCAAGCGUUAAUCGGAAUUACUGGGCGUAAAGCGCACGCAGGCGGUCUGUCAAGUCGGAUGUGAAAUCCCCGGGCUCAACCUGGGAACUGCAUUCGAAACUGGCAGGCUAGAGUCUUGUAGAGGGGGGUAGAAUUCCAGGUGUAGCGGUGAAAUGCGUAGAGAUCUGGAGGAAUACCGGUGGCGAAGGCGGCCCCCUGGACAAAGACUGACGCUC
RNAcentral lists this ribosomal RNA (697 nucleotides) under Klebsiella pneumoniae subsp. pneumoniae. RNAcentral's name for it is "bacterial SSU rRNA". It matches the Rfam family "Bacterial small subunit ribosomal RNA", at positions 60 to 748 of the family's 1533-position model. Lineage: Bacteria; Pseudomonadati; Pseudomonadota; Gammaproteobacteria; Enterobacterales; Enterobacteriaceae. The record is from RNAcentral.